CGUUGAAACACCGGUUCCCGUACGAUCACCGAAGUUAAGCAAUGCCGAGCCUACUCCUUAUCUUGAUGGGUAACCACUUGGAAAUACCAGGUGUUGUAA
Non-coding RNA from Acanthosepion pharaonis, 99 nucleotides. The record is from the annotation of a GenBank genome assembly. NCBI's taxonomy places the organism in Eukaryota, Metazoa, Mollusca, Cephalopoda, Sepiida, Sepiidae.